UGGCGGCGUGCCUAAUACAUGCAGUCGAGCGAACAGAGAAGGAGCUUGGUCCUUUGACGUUAGCGGCGGACGGGUGAGUAACACGUGGGCAACCUACCUUAUAGUUUGGGAUAACUCCGGGAAACCGGGGCUAAUACCGAAUAAUCUGUUUCACCUCAUGGUGAAAUAUUGAAAGACGGUUUCGGCUGUCGCUAUAGGAUGGGCCCGCGGCGCAUUAGCUAGUUGGUGAGGUAACGGCUCACCAAGGCGACGAUGCGUAGCCGACCUGAGAGGGUGAUCGGCCACACUGGGACUGAGACACGGCCCAGACUCCUACGGGAGGCAGCAGUAGGGAAUCUUCCACAAUGGGCGAAAGCCUGAUGGAGCAACGCCGCGUGAGUGAAGAAGGAUUUCGGUUCGUAAAACUCUGUUGUAAGGGAAGAACAAGUACAGUAGUAACUGGCUGUACCUUGACGGUACCUUAUUAGAAAGCCACGGCUAACUACGUGCCA
RNAcentral lists this ribosomal RNA (491 nucleotides) under Lysinibacillus sphaericus. RNAcentral describes it as "bacterial SSU rRNA". It matches the Rfam family "Bacterial small subunit ribosomal RNA", at positions 37 to 510 of the family's 1533-position model. Lineage: Bacteria; Bacillati; Bacillota; Bacilli; Caryophanales; Bacillaceae. The record is from RNAcentral.